AGAGUUUGAUCCUGGCUCAGAGCGAACGUUAGCGGCGGGCUUAACACAUGCAAGUCGAGCGAGAAAGGGGGGCAACCCCUGAGUACAGCGGCGGACGGGUGAGUAACACGUAGGUAAUCUGCCUUUCAGUGGGGGACAACGGUCCGAAAGGACCGCUAAUACCGCAUACGCUUCCCGGGUCUCCGGUCCUGGGAAAGAAAGCUGGGCAACUGGCGCUGAAAGAGGAGCCUGCGUCGCAUCAGCUAGUUGGUGGGGUAACGGCCUACCAAGGCGAAGACGCGUAGCUGGUCUGAGAGGAUGAUCAGCCACACUGGGACUGAGACACGGCCCAGACUCCUACGGGAGGCAGCAGUGGGGAAUAUUGGACAAUGGGGGAAACCCUGAUCCAGCCACGCCGCGUGAGUGAUGAAGGCCUUCGGGUCGUAAAGCUCUGUGGGGAGGGACGAACGUCCGGGUGUAGAGCCCGGGGUGACGGUACCUCCUUAGCAAGCACCGGCUAACUUCGUGCCAGCAGCCGCGGUAAU
This 524-nucleotide ribosomal RNA is filed under the name uncultured soil bacterium. RNAcentral describes it as "bacterial SSU rRNA". It matches the Rfam family "Bacterial small subunit ribosomal RNA", at positions 8 to 524 of the family's 1533-position model. The record is from RNAcentral.